UUCGGCGCUGCGCGCGGACGCCGGCGGCGCCCUGCCACUCAGCCUGGGGGCGGCGGGGGUCACGUGCCUCCUCCCCGUGGGCUGCGAAGUGCUGCCUCGUUCCUUAGAGCUGGCGCUAAUUGGCUGCGCGUAGCUACGGUUUUAUUACGCGUUUUUAAUCUCGAGGUGUUAAGGAAAAGGCAGAUGCGGUACUGCGGGUCAUAAUUUAGAGCAGUCACAGGCAUGGGCUGACUGUUGGGCUACAUGAUCUUAGCGGUCCAUCCACCCUCGAUGAUUCUGUGAUCCUAUGAAGUGGGGAAGAUGCUUUUCUGCAAGGUUACUUUUACUUC
This 329-nucleotide long non-coding RNA is filed under the name Gallus gallus (chicken). Lineage: Eukaryota; Metazoa; Chordata; Aves; Galliformes; Phasianidae. The record is from RNAcentral.